ACUCCCAACCCUUUUGUGAACAUACCUAUCGUUGCUUCGGCGGACUCGCCCCAGCGUCCGGCCGGCCCCGCGCCGGCCGCGGCCUGGAUCCAGGCGGCCGCCGGAGACCCCCAAACUCUGUAUUCUCAGUAUCUUCUGAAUCCGCCGCAAGGCAAAACAAAUGAAUCAAAACUUUCAACAACGGAUCUCUUGGUUCUGGCAUCGAUGAAGAACGCAGCGAAAUGCGAUAAGUAAUGUGAAUUGCAGAAUUCAGUGAAUCAUCGAAUCUUUGAACGCACAUUGCGCCCGCCAGCAUUCUGGCGGGCAUGCCUGUUCGAGCGUCAUUUCAACCCUCGACUUCCCUUUGGGGAAAUCGGCGUUGGGGACCGGCCGUAUACCGCCGGCCCCGAAAUGAAGUGGCGGCCCGUCCGCGGCGACCUCUGCGUAGUAAUCCAACUCGCACCGGAACCCCGACGUGGCCACGCCGUAAAACCCCCGACUUCUGAACGUUGACCUCGGAUCAGGUAGGAAUACCCGCUGAACUUAAGCAUAUCAAUAAGCGGAGGA
Molecule: ribosomal RNA, 546 nt
Filed under: Cordyceps farinosa
Lineage: Eukaryota; Fungi; Ascomycota; Sordariomycetes; Hypocreales; Cordycipitaceae
Description: eukaryotic LSU rRNA
Rfam family: 5.8S ribosomal RNA (bases 170-323)
Source: RNAcentral